AGAAAUCUCAAACUGUCAGGAAAAACAAACCAUGCCCUACAGACAUAAUAGAAGAGUGAAGAAAAAGCACAGAAAGGAAACUAGAAUUCAUCUUAAUUUAACAAAAGCCUGCUAUAUUUGCCAACAGUGUGGUAGAGUGUACUUCUGGUUGGUGUUGCCAAAUUGAUGUCUAAAUGCUGAAGUAUGUUCUUGGCCCAGACCACUCCUUUCUGUUAUUUAGGAAAUGGUUUUACUCCUGAAGAGUGCAUUUCUAUGGCUCACAAGUGAAUAUACACGGAUCAGAGCAAGGUCUUGUGCGGCAAGAUUCGGAGGAGGGUGGGGAGGAGGAAGGUGUUGCUGCAAGAGUGACCUAUUUCGGAACAUUCCAGAAGCCAACUCUUGUAAAAGCCAAUAUCAGCAAGCCCCAAAAGAGCAUGGAGCAGAAGUUCUGCUGCAGCCUAUGGAAAGAAAUCUGAGGUGGAGCAUGAUGUCUGCGGAAGCUGUUGUUCAUCUGGAAACCUACACUGGAGCAGUCCACUCCUGAAGUGUGGACCCUGCGGUAUGGACCCAAAUUAGAGCAGUGCUUGGAGAGCUGUAGUCUGUGGGAUGCCUACGUUAUAUAAGUUUGGGAAGGGUGGAACCUUGUGGGAGUGACCCCACAUUGGAGCAGGGGCAAAGUAUUGCUGCGAAGGUGCAUCAGAGAUGAAGUGUUAUGGAACACUACCCUUGUUCCAUUGUGCUGUUUGGAGGGAGAAGAGGUAAAAGAGAGUGGAUUUGAGGGAAGGUGGUUUUAGUUUGGUUUCAGUUAUAUUAGUCUGCCUUAUGCUGUGUCUGUUUAUCCUGUGACAAUUGGUGAGUGAUCUCCCUGCCUCUAUCUCAACUUCAGUCCUUUUUUCAUCUCAGUUUCUUCCCCAUUCUUUUUGAGGAGGAGUGAGAGAGUGAUAUGGUGGAGUUUAGAUAGCCAUCAGUUUGAAACCACCCAACUAAAGAAGAGUCAUUUAGUUAGUUCUGCAAAUGACUAAUGAUUCUGUAGCUUUGGAUUGAUCAAUGCCUAGCAUUCAAAUGAACAAAUACUUAUUUUCUAAAUAAACACUGGAGUACAAAAUAAAUCCAAAACAUAAUAUAUUAUCUAAAAUAGGUUUUCACAAGGCCUUAUAGUAUUUCCUAAAAUGCAGUAAAUCUUUUAGUGGAAAUGCCAUUAAUUUCUUCCUUGAUGGGGAACACUGAGGAGAAUAUGCCAGACUUGCAGCCAAAUUUACAUUAGCUCUUUUUAUACUAUUGUAUGAUCUCAGCUUUUCUAGCUUGAAACGAUGUCAUGGAUACAAUUAUGUACUUCACUCUUAAGAUAUAUGCAGCAGUAUAAUUACUGAUAGAAAAGAGUGAUUUAAUAAAUCUUAAUAAUAAGACAGAAACUAGUUUUGAGAUGACAAGGUACACUUGAUUAUUUACUUCAUAGAGUUAAACAUACUCAUCCAGGAGAUACUACCAUUGAGAAUUAGUUUCAAAGUGGAUCCUCUUUCUUUCUAAAGGUCUGCUCAGAACUGCUAAAGGACUGCUAAGCAUUAGGCUAAAGGACUGCUCAACAUUAAUGACAUAAUAUGACUGAUUCAUAGUCAUAUUUGCAUACUGACUGCAGAUGUCACUUUCUUCCAAAUUUGUUUUGAAUCUGAUACUGACAAGAAUUGAGGUCGGGUGAGUGCAUUGCUCAAAUUGCCCCUUGGAUAUUAUGUUGUUAUCUGUUUUCCCUCAAUCUACAUUGAGUCAGAUGCAGACAUCAUGACUCAUUGCAUCCAUCAUGACUGUCACUGAUGGUUAUCUGCUCAAGUUGGAUUCAGCCUUCAUGACUGCCACUAGUGGCUAUUGCUUGAGAAAUGUUAAGGGAAACAAAGGUCAGGUUGAAAGGGGUGGGUUACAGAAAAUAAAUGCUGUAAAUUCUAGUUGUGUAAGUUAAAUUCAGAUAUGGUUAUGUUAUCUGAAUAUAGGUUUAUAAAUUUAUACAAAGACCCAACAAGGAUCAGAUGAAUGAUGAUCAGUAGAAGAUAUGAGACAUAUAGGAGAUAGCUUGAAGGCAGAAAACAAGAGGAACCAGGGAUGACUGAGGAUGAAAACCUGUGAAAAUAGAAGGAAAGAUAAUAGAUGUGCCUGCAUAUGUGGAGGCAGAUGCUGGUUUGUCAGCACGUCUCUGUGUGUCUGACUGAAUUCUGCACUUUCUCAAUUUGUUUGUUCUAUCUACUUAUGAAAUCUUGCCUCUAACUGUCUUCUGUGGGUGUGUGUAUGCCUCUCAGGAACUGUGCUUGGCAUCCUUACUCCCUGUCUCCUAGGAAAAGGAAUUGCAGCAGGCUCACAUCUACAAGUCUGCGACAGAAGGUACCUCACAGGUACUGUAGACUACCAAAUUCAAUAAUCUUAAAUGAGUUAUAUUACCUGAUAUUCUCCAUACCUCAUCUACUAUACUUAGAUAAUAUCACCUAUUCAUUUUUUUUUCAGUCUUGAUCAUCAUUCAUAUGAUAAUGCUAAUUUUAACCUUAGUGUUUGCACCUGAGUCUCUGAACUUCAAAACCAACCCUGAAGAUGUAUAUAGCUAUGUCAAUAACAUUUCUCAUGUCAGUUAAGCAACCACUGUUAAUUCUAGUAUAUCUAUAGCAGAUAUUUCACUCUACUGUGUAUUGAUAUGCCUUUUUUUUCAAAUGGACAUGCCAUUUAGUGAUAUUCCUAUGGUGUUCCCUGUGGUGGUGAUAUGUAAAUCUGACCUUAAAGCACAUUUUUCAGUAUGACAGAACUGAAAUGGAACCACAGUUAUCUGACACAAUUUCUCUUCUAGAAAUUGAUAUUAAAUAAAUAUUGAG
Long non-coding RNA from Gallus gallus (chicken), 2825 nucleotides. The record is from Ensembl. NCBI's taxonomy places the organism in Eukaryota, Metazoa, Chordata, Aves, Galliformes, Phasianidae.